This is a long non-coding RNA of Lutra lutra (Eurasian river otter), 815 nucleotides long. RefSeq lists it as uncharacterized. The record is from RefSeq and is a predicted model, not a curated record. Lineage: Eukaryota; Metazoa; Chordata; Mammalia; Carnivora; Mustelidae. The transcript is spliced from 2 exons.
GCGUAGAGGACAGGAGGAGACACCUAGGACUACGGCAGCAGCAAUCACCAGAAGGAUUUUCCAGCCCACGACAGCAGUCUCCAACUCCUGACACCGCCCUCUCCCCCAACGACCCCUUCCCCAGAGCCCCUCGCCCCAGAAGACCCCCGAGGACUCACCCAGACCCCUCCCAGUCCAUUGCCCCAACUCUGCCCUCACUCUUUGCCACUUUACCAAGCCCUGAAGUCUAUCCAGGGAGGGGGAUGGGAGAGGUGUUUAAAGAACGAAUCUCAUUGCAAUCAGAAUUUAUCCGUGUCUCCAGCACACACGCCGACAGUUUUGCAGUCAUGGUAAGGCAAGUCGACAAGAGGUGGAGGGUACUUAUGGUUGUGUUAUUGAGGGAGGGGUUGCUUCUCUUUUUUCUUUUUCUUUUUUUUUUCCAAGAGACUCUAAACAAGUGAAGGGGGGAAGGGGGUAGCGAUAGAGAUUUCAACCAGGACUGCAAAUCAAGAACGCCCCAGAUGCAAAUGUCUGUCUCCAGAUGUUGAUGAUAAGGAUUUGGACCAGUUACCUUGGCAGGGUCAAAACUGCAGCAGGUUAAUCAGCGUCGGUCCGCACUCCCUGUGACCCAGGACGUCAUGAUGCCUGUCUGUUUUCUCAAUGAUAACUUGGCAGAAGAAGAGAGAGGCUGCCAGGUUCUCCUCGGGUGGUUACGUGGUAUGUGCACGUUUCUGUUUGCAUGCGUUUCUCUCGCUCCCUUUUUUAAAAAUAAAUAUCUGUGUUUGAAAAAAAAAAAUUCCCGGCACUGUCAGGAUUUGAUUGCAUUAUUGCGUUUG